Molecule: ribosomal RNA, 483 nt
Filed under: Lentilactobacillus buchneri
Lineage: Bacteria; Bacillati; Bacillota; Bacilli; Lactobacillales; Lactobacillaceae
Description: bacterial SSU rRNA
Rfam family: Bacterial small subunit ribosomal RNA
Source: RNAcentral
AAGAACAGGUGUCAGAGUAACUGUUGACAUCUUGACGGUAUCCAACCAGAAAGCCACGGCUAACUACGUGCCAGCAGCCGCGGUAAUACGUAGGUGGCAAGCGUUGUCCGGAUUUAUUGGGCGUAAAGCGAGCGCAGGCGGUUUUUUAGGUCUGAUGUGAAAGCCUUCGGCUUAACCGGAGAAGUGCAUCGGAAACCGGGAGACUUGAGUGCAGAAGAGGACAGUGGAACUCCAUGUGUAGCGGUGAAAUGCGUAGAUAUAUGGAAGAACACCAGUGGCGAAGGCGGCUGUCUGGUCUGUAACUGACGCUGAGGCUCGAAAGCAUGGGUAGCGAACAGGAUUAGAUACCCUGGUAGUCCAUGCCGUAAACGAUGAGUGCUAAGUGUUGGAAGGUUUCCGCCCUUCAGUGCUGCAGCUAACGCAUUAAGCACUCCCCCUGGGGAGUACGACCCCAAGGUUGAAACUCAAAGGAAUUGACGGGGG